ACUCGGAAGCAGCAGAACGCAACAUUGAAAUUUCAGGUUGCAAAGCAGGAGAAGAAGCUCACUGAAAUUGAGUCAAAGGUAAACGAGAAUGACCGGAUAGUUGGAGAUGGAAUCUUUGAAUUUAUGGAAUAGCAGAAAAAUCUGACAAGAAUAUUGAAAGCAAGAGUGAAGGACAUUUGCAGGGCAAUAAUGUUGCAGGUUCUCUGGCUGUAGUGCACCGCCUGGGUAGGCUGAGAGAUGGGGAAAACGACCAGUGAUCACGAGAUUCAUCUCCAGGACAGCGAGGGAUAUGACAUGGAAAAGUGCAAAGAAAAAUGACUAUUUAAAGAAGAACAACCGGAAGUUCAAGGAUGAUCUGACAGCAUUUGACAAAUAAACUCGGAAUCGUCUGUGGUCGAUGAUUUAGAGAGCAAGGAAGGUAGGGAAAAGUGCAUACUUUGCGGGAGUCAAGGCUUUUGAUAAUGGAAGGGAAAUUCCCGCUGACUACUAGCUUGUUGACUGCUGGAUUUAUCAAGACCAUUCACACAGUCCAGUCAGUCACACAGUCCAGAAGCUCGGGCCUACCCUACUUCCUCCUACAACACCCUGAUGAGAAG
Oncorhynchus kisutch (coho salmon) is the source of this 596-nucleotide long non-coding RNA. RefSeq lists it as uncharacterized. The transcript has 2 exons. Lineage: Eukaryota; Metazoa; Chordata; Actinopteri; Salmoniformes; Salmonidae. The record is from RefSeq and is a predicted model, not a curated record.